Molecule: long non-coding RNA, 873 nt
Filed under: Equus asinus (donkey)
Lineage: Eukaryota; Metazoa; Chordata; Mammalia; Perissodactyla; Equidae
Description: lncRNA (ENSEASG00005038553.1)
Source: RNAcentral
CCGCCAUCUUGGUAAAGGACGGGGACACCGCCCAGCCGCCCGCCCACCAUCUUGGCAAAGGGUCUGGGUAGCGGGUCGCCGAAGUCGUUGUUCCUCUCCCCGAAGGGUGAACGCUGCUCCGUGCGUUGUCCAAUAUGAAAGGAAAGAACUAGGCUUUUGGCAAGCCGCCUGUCCGGAGCCCGUCUACACGGGCAGCCUCCAGACCGUUUUGGGCCGCCAUCUUGGCAAAGGAAGCGACGCUCCCCGCCGCGGGAAAACGGGAACCAAAGCGUUUGCCAAAGUAGAAGCGUCAGCCAGUAGAGUUUUUAUGAAGGGCGCUCAACAGUCCAGUUGUUAACCAAAGCUCCUUCUGGAUCCAGAAGCGAUGCCUCCUCUUUGCCUUUUCUUUGGAGCAAGUCAACUAGGAGGAGGCCCUUGCCUUGGAUGCUCAUAGUGGACCCUAAACCCAGUUUUGCUGAAUCCACCUUAUGUUAACUGUGCUAUAAAUUCCAGAGGAGUGGUUUACAUAUGAGCUGGGAAGACUCACCUGCGUGGAUCAUUUAGGGACACCACAUUGCCUUGGAUGACCAACCUCCACCCUAUGAGGGUACCUGAAGCAGCAUAGUGGUUAAGAAUAUGACCUCUGGGGCCAGAACGCCUGGAUUUGAACCUGACUCUGCCACUUGUUGCCUAUGUGACCCUCAUAAGCCUUGUACCCUCUGUGCCCCCGAUUCCUUAUCUGUAAAAUGAGGGAAGACAAUAGUACCUGCCUCACAGGACUGUUGGGAGGCUUAACUGAGUUCUUACAUAUAAAGCACUUAGAACAUAGCCUGGCACAUAACAAGCAAUAAAUGAAUAUUAGUUGUUUCUCUUACUGUUCGUUCUUAUUUUUCA